RNAcentral lists this ribosomal RNA (499 nucleotides) under uncultured bacterium. RNAcentral describes it as "partial 16S ribosomal RNA". It matches the Rfam family "Bacterial small subunit ribosomal RNA", at positions 30 to 523 of the family's 1533-position model. The record is from RNAcentral.
AUUGAACGCUGGCGGCAGGCCUAACACAUGCAGUCGAGCGGUCGAGAGAAGCUUGCUUCUCUUGAGAGCGGCGGACGGGUGAGUAAUGCCUAGGAAUCUGCCUGGUAGUGGGGGAUAACGUUCGGAAACGGACGCUAAUACCGCAUACGUCCUACGGGAGAAAGCAGGGGACCUUCGGGCCUUGCGCUAUCAGAUGAGCAUAGGUCGGAUUAGCUAGUUGGUGGGGUAAUGGCUCACCAAGGCGACGAUCCGUAACUGGUCUGAGAGGAUGAUCAGUCACACUGGAACUGAGACACGGUCCAGACUCCUACGGGAGGCAGCAGUGGGGAAUAUUGGACAAUGGGCGAAAGCCUGAUCCAGCCAUGCCGCGUGUGUGAAGAAGGUCUUCGGAUUGUAAAGCACUUUAAGUUGGGAGGAAGGGCAGUAAAUUAAUACUUUGCUGUUUUGACGUUACCGACAGAAUAAGCACCGGCUAACUCUGUGCCAGCCGCCGCAGUAA